RNA transcript from Ipomoea triloba (trilobed morning glory), 4032 nucleotides. It is a transcript of the gene named ubiquitin carboxyl-terminal hydrolase 26, with no coding region annotated. The record is from RefSeq and is a predicted model, not a curated record. The transcript has 15 exons. Lineage: Eukaryota; Viridiplantae; Streptophyta; Magnoliopsida; Solanales; Convolvulaceae.
GGGGAUGCUCUUGUACUCUUGGUUGCUCUAAACAGCUAGGGUUCAUUGUCCAACACUUCAAUUUUUUACCGCCGGUCCGCCGCUGCUUUCACUACCCAGGACUACCAUCGGCAAUCGUCCAUAACUGCGACGCCGAAGCUGACUGCGCCGGACGCCGGUCACUCGGUGCCUCAAUCGGACGCCCAGGACUCGAACCGGCGAUUUUGCUUCCUCCAAUCAUCUUCGGCUCCCUACAUAGCCGUUAACAUCUGUUAUUUCGGAUUCUAACCAAAAGGUCUCGACAUCAAUGAAUCUACGGAGGAUCUGAAAAGGACAGCCUUCGUAUACCGAGUUCAGAUAAAUUUGAGUGAACGGAGGUGGUAUAGCAAUGGGACAGCAACGACCGACGACGCGCAGUAAAAACAAAAGGAAUAGAGCUGAUGAUAAUGCUGAUGCUAUUUCUGAAACUUUCAGGAAAGUUCUUUCUACUGGACAGGUAACUCAAGAUGAUGUAAAUCAACUAUACAUGGUAUGGAGGCCUGUGUGUCAAGGAUGCCGAGUCAACAGCAAGGAUAAUCCCAACUGCUUUUGUGGAUUGAUUCCACCACCAAAUGGAAGUCGAAAAGUUGGUUUAUGGCAGAAGACAUCUGAAAUUGUCCAUUCCCUUGGGCCUGAUCCAUCUGAUGACCUUCGUGCAUCCCCAGACACACCAGCAGGCCUCACUAACCUUGGUGCGACAUGCUAUGCGAACAGUAUACUCCAAUGUCUGUACAUGAAUAGGUCAUUCAGGGAAGGUGUUUUCUCAGUUGAACCUGAGGUGUUGAAAGGAGAUCCAGUAUUGGACCAACUUGCACGAUUAUUUGCUAAGUUACACUUGAGCAAAAUGGCUUUUGUUGAUUCUGCUCCAUUUAUCCAGACUCUUGAGCUUGAUAAUGGUGUUCAGCAGGAUAGUCAUGAGUUCCUGACAUUGCUUUUUUCUUUGCUUGAACGAUGUUUAAGCUGCUCUAAAGUAUCCAAGGCUCGAACAAUUGUCCAAGAUCUUUUCCGUGGAGGUGUGUCACAUGUCACAAUGUGCUCAAGAUGUGGAAAUGAAUCUGAAGCAUCAUCAAAAAUAGAGGACUUCUAUGAGCUGGAGUUGAAUGUUAGGGGUUUGAAGAGUUUAGAUGAUAGUUUGGAUGACUAUCUUAGCAUAGAGGAGCUUGAAGGAGAUAACCAAUAUUAUUGUGAGUCAUGUGCUACUCGAGUCAAUGCUACCCGUAGCAUUAAACUGCGCUCUCUCCCUGCAGUCCUUAAUUUCCAGCUCAAGCGUUGUGUUUUCCUUCCAAAUACUACAACAAAGAAGAAGAUCACAUCGGCAUUUUGUUUUCCUGAGGAAUUGAAUAUGGCACAAAGAAUAUCCGACCAUUUGCAACCAGAUUUAGUGUAUGACUUGUCAGCCAUAUUGAUCCACAAGGGCUCUGCAGUUAAUAGUGGCCACUACAUAGCACUUAUUAAAAAUGAGAAAACAGGGCAGUGGUGGGAAUUUGAUGAUGAGCAAGUGUCCAACUUAGGUUCUCAACCAUUUGGGGGAGGCUCCUCUAAUUCUGCUGUUAAACCUGCUCAAACUGAGCCCCCUCUCCACACAUCUGCCUCUGAACAAAUGGAUGUUAUAGUAAAUGGAAAAAAUGUGAAUGGUGGUCAGCAAAGGUCUUUGAACACCAAUGUCGUUUGUAAUGCCAAGACAUUCUCAUCCAGUGAUGCAUACAUGCUGAUGUAUGCUCUUAGGAGUGCACGCGAAGGUGUUGAGGCAACAAAUAAUGAGACUGGUGGGGAAGAACUGAAAAGUAAUUCUUAUAAAUUUUCUUUUGGAACUGAUAGUCCUCUUCCAUCCCAUCUUCAUGAAGAGGUUGAUCAACUGAAUGUUGAGUUCCUUGAGUCUUGCAAUCAAUAUAGAGAAAGGAAGGAAACUGAACUCAAGCGCAUCACUGAGCGGCGGCAGGAGGUGCGCUCAAUUCUUUCUGAAGUGCCAGUUCAAUCACUUUGGAAGCCAUAUUUUUGGAUUUCUACUGACUGGCUUCGUCAAUGGGCUGAUAGCAUCACACCACCAAUAAUAGACAACAUUGCCAUACAAUGCAAGCAUGGGAAAGUGCCAGUUUCAAAGGUGAACGCAAUGAAAAGGUUGUCACAAACAUCUUGGGCCAUGCUAUUAUCUAAGUAUGGUGGAGGUCCAACACUGGCUAAUGAUGACCAUUGCAUGGAAUGCCUCUUUGAAAUGGCUCGCACAAUGGCUCGUGCAGACAGCUAUAGGGAUCGGACAGCACUUAUGAAAGAUCUAGCAGAGGCAGCCCUUGCAGGGAAGUGUCUCGAUGGCAAGUUGUUCUAUAUAUCAAAGUCAUGGUUGCAGCAGUGGCUUCGGAGGAAGAAUGUAGACUCUCCAUGUGAAGCUGAUGCUGGGCCUACAGCAUCGAUUAGAUGUCCCCAUGGGGAGCUAUUGCCUGAACUAGCUCCUGGUGCCCGUCGUGCACUAAUUCCUGAAAACCUAUGGAAUUUUAUUCAUGAGACUGCUAUGGCUGUAAAGCCUGGUGAUACCUUGGGCUCUUCAACUUUCUCUUCAGAUUCAGAGCCAUGUGCCCAAUGCAGUAUUGAACUUUCGGAACAUGCAUGCUUGGAAGAUAACCUAAGAGAGUUCAGAAUUAAACAACGACAAAGUCAUGAGAGAUUAGCAGCUGGUAAAAGUAUAGCACUUUAUCCAAGCAACAAGUACUACUUGGUGCCUUCUCAUUGGCUGUCAAAAUGGAGAAGCUAUAUUAGUGCAACUGGGAAGAAUUCUUCUGCUGAACUUGAAACCUUGGGCUCAGCCAUGGAUUUACUCACGUGUGAAAAGCAUUAUAGACUUCUAGAAAGGCCUCCUGAACUGAUUUGGAAGCGUGGUGUUAUUCACCAGAAGACACCCACUACAGAUGGAUUGACCAUUGUUAGUGAGAAUGACUGGAAGCUAUUCUGUGAAGACUGGUGUGGUUUAGAGGCAAGAGGAAUUGUUGCUGAAAUUGAAUGCGUGGAAAAUGAUUUGGUCAUAUCUUGUGAUGAGAUGCCAUUAUCUGAAGAUCAUAUGACUGUGGAUGGUGAACCGAAUAUUGGGAUUGAAUCUAGAAAACCUAUCAUUAAGACUUUGCCAGAGGUAUGUGAAGAGUGUAUUGGCGAAAAGGCAAGCUGUGAGUUGCUGAAAAAACUCAACUAUUCCAAUGAGGACAUAUGUGUUUGUUUCAUUCGUGGCAAGGAACCUCCUAAAUCAAUUUUAGAAGCAUCCGGGAAUAGUUUGGAGCCAAAUCGACGAACUUCAAAGCGGUCCAGGAAGACAUCAUUUGGCAACUCUGUAAAUUUAAACGUUUCUGGAUCCACAUCAAUCUACCAACUGAAGAUGAUGAUAUGGGAAGCCUUUGGGGUUGUCAAGGAAAACCAGGUACUUCACAAAGGUUCUAGGAUAAUUGAUGUGGAAUCUGCAUGUCUUGCUGAUUUGGAAAUAUUUCCUGGUGAUGUUCUAUGGGUGACUGAUUCGGAGAUCCAUGAGAAUCGGGAUAUUGCUGAUGAGCUUUCUGAUCAUAAGAUGGAGGUGCACAAGGCUGAGGAAGGUUUUCGUGGAACACUUCUUACAUCAAGUGUAUCUUCCCAGGUUUCAGAAGCAUGCUUGAAUUAGUGAAGAUCCGCAUGCUUGUAAUAUUCUUAAUUUUGGAAUGUGAAGAAGGUACAGUUCUGGAGAUGGCUGGCUCGUGCACUGCAAGGGAAGUCCCAUGUUGACAUUGACUAGCUUGCUUGGGUAAAAACAUCAUGUUUUUGGGUGGUUUUUCGACCUUAGAGUAUGGUUGUUUCCAGUUUAACCUUGUUACCUGCUCAGUUCUUUUUUGGCUGCCAGAUUGUUAAUGCAGGUAUUAGUUAUAAUGAAGGGUGAGGUUUGGUUUGGGGUCCCCUCUUGGGACAAGUUUUGUAUAUUAACUUUCUACCUUACCUUUGACAGUCAACUGUAAAUGAUGUAUUUUAUGGUUUUGGUAAAUAUAAAUUGUUACACUUUCGAUUCAA